Molecule: long non-coding RNA, 301 nt
Organism: Pelobates fuscus (common spadefoot toad)
Lineage: Eukaryota; Metazoa; Chordata; Amphibia; Anura; Pelobatidae
Exons: 3
Source: RefSeq, a predicted model, not a curated record
CCCACCCAGUGCCAACUCAACACGGUACCGUGCAACAUGGUGAGUCCGGCUGUACGUUACUGGACGAAAUGUCAGAUCCUGUACACAUCUCGCGUAUAUAUUGAUGUGCAGCAUGUGAAAAGUGCUGUCCUGAAGUAUGAAGACUUCAAAUGCUGCAGUCAUCCAGACUUUAAACAACAAGAUAAGAAAGGCAGUGACUCAUCAAAAUGACGCCACACACAUUGUCACACGAUUCACUUAUAAAAGAGAAAAGGUAAUAAAAUCAUGAAUUAUAAUCUCUCAGGAUUUAUACCUUCGCAAC